Molecule: small RNA, 768 nt
Filed under: Pan troglodytes (chimpanzee)
Lineage: Eukaryota; Metazoa; Chordata; Mammalia; Primates; Hominidae
Description: processed transcript
Source: RNAcentral
AGUGAGGAGGUUAUACCCGGAGGUCUCAACGCUAGCUCGUGCUGCUCGUGUUGCCGCUGGGUACCUUUGCUGCCAGUGCUGAUCCAGCCGGAGGCGAAGAGAAGCACUUUGGGGGCAAAAGAAAAAUGAAGACGGGACAUUUUGAAAUAGUCACCAUGCUGCUGGCAACCAUGAUUCUAGUGGACAUUUUCCAGGACUAAAAACCGAAAACUGUAUUGAGAACCUAGAAUAUUUUCAGCCCAUCUAUGUCUACAACCCUGGUGAGAAAAACCAGAAGCUUGAAGACCAUAGUGAGAAAAACUGGAAGCUUGAAGACCAUGGUGAGAAAAACCAGAAGCUUGAAGACCAUGGUGUGAAAAUCCUUGAACCCACCCAAAUACCUGAGAUGGGGUCUCGCUAUGUUGCCCAGGCUCAAACUCCUGGUCUCAAGUGGUCCUCCUGCCUUGGCCUCCUAAAAUGCUGGAAUUACAGCUCCAGGUCCAGUUCCUGUUCCAGGUCCCAAAAGCCAUCCUUCUGCAUCCUUGGGCAAACUGCUGCUUCCACAGUUUGGGAUGGUCAUCAUUUUAAUCAGUGUUUCUGCUAUAAAUCUCUUUGUUGCUCUGUAGUUUGAUGCAUUGUUUAUCUUUCUUAUUCUUUACUUGAAAUAACUAUAGGGAUCCACAGGAGAUCAAAAGGAAUGAUGUAUUUUUUAACGUGUUGGCCAAAGUCACUGGAUAAAAUGAGAAUUGUAUAUUUGUUAUUCAUUUUGCAAAUUCAGAAAGUUGGUCC